AGUAGAAACAUAGAAAGAGGAGUGUUGAGACACUCCUACUCCUCUAAGCCAAGGAGGUCUAGUGUGAAGCCAGAACACAUAGCCUUUCCCAGAAAGAACAAGGAGUCCCUGACCUGAGCUGUCAAUGAAGGCUGACUACUGAACUCCUACCCCUACCUGGUAAUAAUGAGGUAACGUUCUACCACCCCACUUUCCCUGCUAGAGUGGUAUCAGAGAAAUCCAGCUAAAACAAAGUUUAAAUAAGAUUCAGUCUCGUAACAUAAUGCUUCAAAAAUCCCCAUUUCAAUAGUAAAUCACUUGUCAUGCCAAGAACGAGGAAGAUCUCAAACUGAAUGAAAAAAGAUGAUGUCAACUCCUAGAUGACAUGAGAGUUUAGAAUUAUCUGGAAAAUAUUGUAAAUGAGCCACCAUAAAGAUGUUUAGAUGAGCAAUUACAAACAUGCCUGAAAUAAAUUUUAAAAAAUAGAAAGUUUCAGCAAAUAGAAAAUCUCAGUAAAGAAAUAGAAGACAUGAAGAAGAAUCAAAGGGAAAUUUUAGAACAAAAAAUAUAUCUGGUAUAAAAAUGAAAAAGCAGAAUAGAGAAGACAAAGCAAAGAAUCAGUAAACUAGAAGACAGAGCAAUAGAAAUUACCCAAUCUGAACAACAGAGUUAGAAACAGACUGGGAAAAAGAAAAAUGAACAUAGCCUUAGAAAUCUAAGGAACUAUAACAAAAGAUGUAACUUUUAUGUUAUUAGAGUGCCAGAAGGAGAGGAUAAAGAGGUACUUAAAGAAAUAAGACUGAAACUUACCAAGUUUUACAAAAGACAUAAACCUACAGAUUCUAGAAACUGAGUGAAUGUGAUAAACCUAAAGAAAUCUAUAACAAGACAUAUCAUAAUCAAACUUCUAAAAAUUGAAGACAAACAAUCUUGAAAGCAAUGAGAAAAAAAAUGACACUUUACCCAGCAUUACCAGGGGAUAAACAAUUCAAAUAACAGUGGAUUUCUCACUAUAAAUCAUGGAAGCAGAAGGAAGUGGCACAACAUUUUUCAAGUGAUGAAAGCAAAGAAUCAUCAACUCAGAAUUCAGCAAAAAUAUCCUUCAAGAAUGAAAGAACAAUAAAGGCUUUCUCAGAUGAAGGAAUAUCAAGAGAACUUGUUGCCAGCUGACUUACCCUUAAAAAAUGGCUAAUGAAAAUGUUCUAAACAAGAAGAAAAUGAUAAAAGAAGGAAUCUUGGAACAUCAGAAAAGAAGAAAGAACAAUACAAGAAAGAUAAGCAAAAAUAUGGGUGUUAAGAUUUGGGUUUUAGACCCUCUUCUGGCUCACUAAAACCUGGAUUCAGGAAGAAAGAGAAGCACCAGAUAUAGACAGUUCACAAAUUGGAUAUUCUUCUUUCUAGAGCUCUUCGUUCCUAGAUCGAUUUAAGUAAGCAGAAGUUAUGCCUACAAGACUAUUUGGCCUGUUUAGUUGACUUGAAGCAUAGAGUGAACUGCUCAUAGUAGAAAGUGAAGAGGAUGGAGUAGUUGAACUUGAAGUUGAUACUGGCCUAUAACGCUGAUUGUCUUGCUUGUCUAGAUCUUGCUUUUCUUUGGGAUUCAGACUCUUCAUCCCUAACAGGAGUGAGGGAAAAUUUGGGAUGCUGUUGGGACCGGCAUCCUGGACGUUUGGACCUCAGAAGGAACAGGAGCAUUUCUCAAUUGCUGAGAACCCACUCACAACCUAUCUGUACCUAAGGAGUCUUAGAAGCCUCUGCAACUUCUUUAAAUAUAGGUCGGCAAAAUGCAGAGGUGAACAACAGCCUCCAGAUAAUUAAAUAAUAAUAAAUUCACAACUAUAUGUACAACCUCUUCAUCUUCACAACAACGAAUAAUGUAGCUGGGACAAGUAUCAGAAUGAUUCUCACUGUACAGAUGAAGAAACUCAGUCUGCGUGCAUGGUAUUUGCCCAAGGUCAUACAGGUCAUUAAGAGAAAGUGGGAAUACAAUCUAGGUCUCUACUAGUGUGUCAUUUUGUCUUUAUCAAAAAUAAAAAUAAAUUCAGAUGGAA
Long non-coding RNA from Pan troglodytes (chimpanzee), 2027 nucleotides. RefSeq lists it as uncharacterized. The transcript has 7 exons. The record is from RefSeq and is a predicted model, not a curated record. Lineage: Eukaryota; Metazoa; Chordata; Mammalia; Primates; Hominidae.